UCCACAAAUAAUGGUGUCUGAGUCACAUGU
RNAcentral lists this non-coding RNA (30 nucleotides) under Rattus norvegicus (Norway rat). Lineage: Eukaryota; Metazoa; Chordata; Mammalia; Rodentia; Muridae. The record is from RNAcentral.